This is a long non-coding RNA of Anser cygnoides (Swan goose), 1614 nucleotides long. The record is from Ensembl. NCBI's taxonomy places the organism in Eukaryota, Metazoa, Chordata, Aves, Anseriformes, Anatidae.
UUUAGAACAUACGCUUUCACUUGAUGGAUCAUAUCAAACUUAACUGGAGAAAAAACUUCAGCAAUAUGCCUGCAGCAGAAUUUCUAGUGAAGUCAAGACAUGCAUGCAAACCACUAUCAGACUUUAAAAGCUGAAAAGGUAAAAUCUGCUGGCUAUCAAACUAGACCUGUUCACUCAAGAUACUAAUGCAAGGCAAAAAGGAUGCCAACCACCAAAAAUGCAAGAUCAUGGCAUCCACAGAACUCCAAGGAAUGCAUCUGGAAUUCCCAAUUCCUUCCAAAUAGGAAGGAAGAUGUUACAUCUCGAGUCUUGGAAUCAAACAGAACACUUCCAGGUUCUGAAGUUGUGACCACAGAGAGUACGCUUUCAUGUCCAUAUUAUUCCUUUAAAGUACCUAACUUUUAAGGCAGCCUGCAAGUACAUCCCUUAAUCUCAACAGAUCCUCCAUUCACGUCUGUAUCUCUAAUAUCUUCACCAACUGCAUGCAUAUGUAUUUACUCCAGGACUACUUGGGCAGUGGGAACUCAUGACCUACUUUACUUUCCCGGCUGUGCAAUCAUACCUAUCACCUCUCUACUGACGGCCUGUUUACCUCAAAUGCUGUUUGUCUUCCUACUUCACAUCUCAAGGCACAGGAUUUCUUCCUGCCACUCGCACCUUAGAAUUAAUACCCCAUUUUUGUUUAGCUCUAUUUAUUUCCAUGCUAUCAUGACUUUAUCAAUAAUUAAAAAGAUAGUUAUUCUAAAAGAUGUUACUACUUUUUUUUUUUUUUAACUUUACUAAAAAAAGUUACUACAGAAAACGACACUGCGGUAGACAGCUUCAUGGUGAACUACCACCAUUAUUAACAACUCUGGAUAUACAAAACAGAGUUACGACAGGUUUAACACACGCAGCCACUGCCCAGGCACACCAAGCAGCCCUCACGCAGAAAAUUACAGCGCCCCAAAACCUCCCACGUGAUUUUGUAGCAACUUGCUGAGGCGGACAGGCUGCCGCCCAGCCACCAACCGUGCCCACAGGAAGAGCAAACUUCGAGGAACCAUGCCAGCUUCACACAGGGGCGGUUACCCCAAACCAGGCGUGCUUUCAGAGUGACUCGCUGCAGCAAGCGAGCAAAAGAGAGCCCAAAGUUGUCUUGGACAGGCUUCGGCAGCAAGCACACCCCAAGCCCCCCAUGCACACACCCCCAAACACGUAUCCCUAAGCAUCCCCCAAGCACACCCCAAACAUUCAUCCAAGAACCUUGUAAUCAACUCAUAAACACCCCUCCAAGCACACACAGACCUCAAGCAACCUCAAAACACCCCCCUAAUGCCCCCAAACAUUCCUCCAAGCACCUGAGCAACCCCUAAACACCCCCCAAGCACUCCCCAAGCACCCCCUACGCACAGACCCCAAGCAUCCCCCAAGUCCCCCAUGCGCAUACCCCCAAUCACGCCAACCUAAACACCCCCCAAGCACCCCUCAUGCUCAGACCCCAAGUAGACCCCCCCAAACACCCCAAAAGCACACACCAAGCCCCUCCCCACACUGCCCCAAACACACCCCAAACAGUCCUCCAAGCACCCCUCAAUCAACCCCCAAACACCCCCAAACACCCCCCAGGCACAG